AUUGAACGCUGGCGGCAUGCCUUACACAUGCAAGUCGAACGGCAGCACGGGGGCAACCCUGGUGGCGAGUGGCGAACGGGUGAGUAAUGCAUCGGAACGUGUCCUCUUGUGGGGGAUAACCAGUCGAAAGAUUGGCUAAUACCGCAUGAGAUCGAGAGAUGAAAGCGGGGGACCCGAGGGUAACUUCGGGCCUCGCGCGAGAGGAGCGGCCGAUGCCGGAUUAGCAGUUGGUGGGGUAAGAGCCUACCAAGGCGACGAUCCGUAGCUGGUCUGAGAGGACGACCAGCCACACUGGGACUGAGACACGGCCCAGACUCCUACGGGAGGCAGCAGUGGGGAAUUUUGGACAAUGGGGGAAACCUGAUCCAGCGACGCCGCGUGUGUGAAGAAGGCCUGC
This 397-nucleotide ribosomal RNA is filed under the name uncultured bacterium. RNAcentral describes it as "bacterial SSU rRNA". It matches the Rfam family "Bacterial small subunit ribosomal RNA", at positions 29 to 419 of the family's 1533-position model. The record is from RNAcentral.